ACUCCUACGGGAGGCAGCAGUGGGGAAUAUUGCACAAUGGGCGCAAGCCUGAUGCAGCCAUGCCGCGUGUAUGAAGAAGGCCUUCGGGUUGUAAAGUACUUUCAGCAGUGAGGAAGGGGUGGGUAUGUUUAAUAGCAUACUUCAUUUGACGUUAGCUGCAGAAGAAGCACCGGCUAACUCCGUGCCAGCAGCCGCGGUAAUACGGAGGGUGCGAGCGUUAAUCGGAAUUACUGGGCGUAAAGCGCAUGCAGGUGGUUUGUUAAGUCAGAUGUGAAAGCCCGGGGCUCAACCUCGGAAUUGCAUUGAAACUUGG
This 313-nucleotide ribosomal RNA is filed under the name uncultured bacterium. RNAcentral's name for it is "bacterial SSU rRNA". It matches the Rfam family "Bacterial small subunit ribosomal RNA", at positions 335 to 637 of the family's 1533-position model. The record is from RNAcentral.